This 253-nucleotide unclassified non-coding RNA is filed under the name uncultured Bacteroidia bacterium. RNAcentral's name for it is "contains 16S-23S intergenic spacer region". It matches the Rfam family "Bacterial small subunit ribosomal RNA", at positions 524 to 776 of the family's 1533-position model. Lineage: Bacteria; Pseudomonadati; Bacteroidota; Bacteroidia. The record is from RNAcentral.
UACGGAGGGUGCAAGCGUUAUCCGGAUUCAUUGGGUUUAAAGGGUACGUAGGCGGAAUAAUAAGUCAGUGGUGAAAGCCUGUAGCUUAACUACAGAAUUGCCAUUGAUACUGUUAUUCUUGAGUAUAGUUGAAGUGGGCGGAAUGUGUCAUGUAGCGGUGAAAUGCAUAGAUAUGACACAGAACACCUAUUGCGUAGGCAGCUCACUAAACUACUACUGACGCUGAGGUACGAAAGCGUGGGGAGCGAACAGG